This 311-nucleotide ribosomal RNA is filed under the name uncultured bacterium. RNAcentral's name for it is "bacterial SSU rRNA". It matches the Rfam family "Bacterial small subunit ribosomal RNA", at positions 775 to 1070 of the family's 1533-position model. The record is from RNAcentral.
AGAUAAUAGAUACCCCGGUAGUCCUGGCCGUAAACGAUGGGCACUGGGUAGGGGGGCGUCGCCGAUGGGCUCCCUGCCGUAGGGAAAAACCGGUGAAAGUGCCCCGCCCUGGGGAGUAUGGUCGCAAGGCUGAAACUCAAAGGAAUUGACGGGGGCGUCACACAAGCGGUGGAGCAUGUGGCUUAAUUCGAGGCUACGCGCAAACCUUAUCCUGGGCUUGACAUGCACGGAUUAGCCGGCGGAAACGUCGGUGAGGCCGCGAGGUACAACGUGCACAGGUGCUGCAUGGCUGUCGUCAGCUCGUGUCGUGA